UACGAAGGGGGCUAGCGUUGCUCGGAAUCACUGGGCGUAAAGCGCACGUAGGCGGCUUUCUAAGUCAGGGGUGAAAUCCUGGAGCUCAACUCCAGAACUGCCUUUGAUACUGGAGAGCUAGAGCCCGGGAGAGGUGAGUGGAACUGCGAGUGUAGAGGUGAAAUUCGUAGAUAUUCGCAAGAACACCAGUGGCGAAGGCGGCUCACUGGCCCGGUACUGACGCUGAGGUGCGAAAGCGUGGGGAGCAAACAGG
RNAcentral lists this ribosomal RNA (253 nucleotides) under uncultured bacterium. RNAcentral describes it as "partial 16S ribosomal RNA". It matches the Rfam family "Bacterial small subunit ribosomal RNA", at positions 524 to 776 of the family's 1533-position model. The record is from RNAcentral.